GCGGAGGGAUCAUUACCGAGUUUACAACUCCCAAACCCAAUGUGAACGUUACCAAACUGUUGCCUCGGCGGGAUCUCUGCCCCGGGUGCGUCGCAGCCCCGGACCAAGGCGCCCGCCGGAGGACCAACCAAAACUCUUAUUGUAUACCCCCUCGCGGGUUUUUUUAUAAUCUGAGCCUUCUCGGCGCCUCUCGUAGGCGUUUCGAAAAUGAAUCAAAACUUUCAACAACGGAUCUCUUGGUUCUGGCAUCGAUGAAGAACGCAGCGAAAUGCGAUAAGUAAUGUGAAUUGCAGAAUUCAGUGAAUCAUCGAAUCUUUGAACGCACAUUGCGCCCGCCAGUAUUCUGGCGGGCAUGCCUGUCCGAGCGUCAUUUCAACCCUCGAACCCCUCCGGGGGGUCGGCGUUGGGGAUCGGCCCUCCCUUAGCGGGUGGCCGUCUCCGAAAUACAGUGGCGGUCUCGCCGCAGCCUCUCCUGCGCAGUAGUUUGCACACUCGCAUCGGGAGCGCGGCGCGUCCACAGCCGUUAAACACCCAACUUCUGAAAUGUUGACCUCGGAUCAGGUAGGAAUACCCGCUGAACUUAAGCAUAUCAAUA
This 595-nucleotide ribosomal RNA is filed under the name Trichoderma harzianum. RNAcentral describes it as "eukaryotic LSU rRNA". The stretch from base 217 to 370 matches the Rfam family "5.8S ribosomal RNA". The record is from RNAcentral. Lineage: Eukaryota; Fungi; Ascomycota; Sordariomycetes; Hypocreales; Hypocreaceae.